UCUCCUACAGCACGCGUGAUUCACUAUAAUCGAUGCCUCUUCGGUUUCUCCUCGACCAUAUCACCACUCAUCAUUCAAAAAUCACUUUGUGUUCUCCGUCAUAACAAUAAUUUCUAUAUCAUUGCUUCUUAUUAAUUUCUGAAGGCUCUCCUGAUUAUUUAUACACUUUUCUUCGUAAGUCCAUGGUUCCGAUGACACCAAUAUCUUAUCCGGCAACGUUCCCUAUCACCAACCAACAAGCCACUCAACCUCAACACCAAUCAACUCUCACGCCUUCUGCACAUUCCUCUCAUGUAUCUCAUCUCUCCGCGGCGGCCUCUCUCACCGCCCAUGGAUGGAACUCAUUGAUUGGAGCUCGCUAGCCCUGAUUCUCUCACCUACUCCGCAUACCAGAUCCGUAAAAAUUUCGCCUACUUCAAGGCUAAAUCAUAGAAUGCUGUUUGGUAUCUUUCUGUGGGCCUUAAGAGAGAGCUCAAGUUUGCAUUGGAAUCAUUCUAGGAUGCUGCAUGUUCAUGUCCCAUUGACACCACCACUAACAGUGGUUAAUCUAACAAAGACGGCAUCUUCUUCUGAUUACAGUGGUUAAUCUAGCGGAGACAUCACCUUUGGAUCCACAACGGUGGACAAGACGUUGAUGGAGUCUUGCCACCGGUCCACCGCCUUUGGGAGUCUGAUGAGGGAACUGCUCUCAGAUAAUGGAAAAGUAAGUUGCAGUUUAUUUCAGGUUCACGUAGCUAGUUGAUAUUUUGAAGACCACUCAGUUCGGUGGCAUUUCAGUUUCCAGCAAAAUAUCUUGUAGAUAUUGCAGAGAGAAACCAGGCCCGUUUCAGCCAAGGGUCAGUGGCAUUUCAAUUUCCAACAAAGAUCUUAUAGUAUUGCGGAGAGAACCAGGCCAGUUUCAGCCAAGAUAUGGGUUUAUUUACUUAUCUCCGUGGCCGGAUACGUGUUAUAGUGACCGGUUAAGAUAAAUAUUAUACGGCCAAGCAAUAUUAAUACCAAGCAAAGCUCAUCUACGUUAUGUUUCAGGUCUAUUACCGUCGAUGGCAUUUCAGUUUCCAGCAAAGAUCUUAUAGAUUGCGAAGAGGACCAGGCUGAAAUUUAUACCAAUAACAAGUUUUAGUUUAGCCGUUUUUAUCUGAAGAUAUCCGUCUUAGGUGCUUCUGGUUGUAAAGCAUAAAUUAACCGGCUCCAAAUGUAUUUAUCCAAUCAUAGUAUAGUUUAGCUUCUUAUCACAUAUUCGUAAUUACUGGCUAACAUUGGAUAUCAUUAAGAGAUAGCCUCUCCUUGUAUUCAGUACAUUCAUCCUUACAAAAU
Molecule: long non-coding RNA, 1314 nt
Organism: Brassica oleracea var. oleracea
Lineage: Eukaryota; Viridiplantae; Streptophyta; Magnoliopsida; Brassicales; Brassicaceae
Exons: 4
Source: RefSeq, a predicted model, not a curated record